GACGAACGCUGGCGGCGUGCCUAAUACAUGCAAGUCGAACGGACCUUGCUUGGACGGAGUGGAGUACUUGUACAAAGCGAAGACUAAGCGCUGGUUAGUGGCGAACGGGUGAGUAACACGUAGGUAACCUACCGAUAAGACGAGGACAACUCAUGGAAACGUGAGCUAAUACUGGAUAUGGUAUAGGGAAGGCAUCUUUCUUAUAUUAAAGGAGCUUCUGGCUUCACUUAUUGAUGGACCUGCGGCGUAUUAGCUAGUUGGUGGGAUAGCAGCCUACCAAGGCGAUGAUACGUAGCCGAUCUGAGAGGAUAAACGGCCACACUGGGACUGAGAUACGGCCCAGACUCCUACGGGAGGCAGCAGUAGGGAAUUUUCCACAAUGGACGAAAGUCUGAUGGAGCAACGCCGCGUGUGUGAAGAAGGUUUUCGGAUUGUAAAGCACUGUUGUAUGGGAAGAAUAAGGUGAGAAGGAAAUGGCUCAUUGAUGACG
RNAcentral lists this ribosomal RNA (490 nucleotides) under uncultured bacterium. Its description in RNAcentral is "bacterial SSU rRNA". It matches the Rfam family "Bacterial small subunit ribosomal RNA", at positions 28 to 474 of the family's 1533-position model. The record is from RNAcentral.